AAACUUUGCUCCUGUGGUCCAGCCUCCAGAGGUUUCCCUGGGAGAUGCAGCACCUGCAGAUCGAUGGGUUAGGAGGCAUUUCACAUUAUUUGUGCAACAUUUCUUUUUGCUAAUUCCAUGCCAGUCGGCGAGUACGUGUGUUCUUGGCUACAUGCAGAUCCACAGGAAAUGACUAUUCUGUUUUAAAUAUUUUUGCAUCUUUUAAAUGGAAGUGAAAUGCCAGUUCUGAGCUCUCUGUGAGGAGGAACACAGCCAAGCUGCCAGGAAUCUCCAUGGAGAGCUGCUGGAGCUGUGACCAUCUUACCCUGUGACUUCUAAUGCUGUGGCAGCCCAGCAACCGGAUUAGUGCAUAGCAGUAGGUAAAAUCGGAAGCCCUGAGUUUGAGAUGGACACUGCAGAGUGAGUGUGAGUGGAAGCCUGCCUCCAGAAUGGAAGAGCUUUUGGAGUUGGGGUUGUUCCAGGUUUAUGACAACGCUGAAGUAUGACGUGGAGGCCUUCCCUUAACCACUGAGCUGGAUAUCUCCACAUCUCAAGGAGAGGAGGAGUUACAAUCACUGCACUACUAAUGGAAAGCUGGAGCUCAGCCACGUGGCUUGCCUGAAUCCCUCCUACCUUCUUUAGAUGGUUUGAGCAAAGAACACAUCAAAGAUGUAGACAUGUCUUUCAUCAACUAAAUACCAGCAGCCAGAUUAUCUGAAGUCAUUUUCUGCCUGCUUGCCACUGGGAAGAAAGUGCCCUCAGGGGGUCUCAUUGUGUACCCCGAAAGUACACAGCAAAACAGCUCCGGAGUAAACAGAGGCAGACCCAGCACCCCCCAUCCUCCUCACUGGGGCACUCUGUAUUCACAAUAAACCCCCUGCUGUGAUCUCUUGCCAAGAAUAACACAGACAGUCUAUUAAAACAUCUUUAAUAACAUGAUAUAAUUAAAAAUAUCUAACUUGCAACUCCAA
Molecule: long non-coding RNA, 950 nt
Filed under: Strigops habroptila (Kakapo)
Lineage: Eukaryota; Metazoa; Chordata; Aves; Psittaciformes; Psittacidae
Description: lncRNA (ENSSHBG00005005531.1)
Source: RNAcentral